RNAcentral lists this long non-coding RNA (960 nucleotides) under Marmota monax (woodchuck). The record is from RNAcentral. Lineage: Eukaryota; Metazoa; Chordata; Mammalia; Rodentia; Sciuridae.
CAUGGGAGAAAAUUAAAAAUAAAAGCUCUAGUAGUUACUGCUUAAAUCGUCAUCACUGUGUUUCUACCAAUAUACAACCAGUAUUCUUUCCCCCAUACUCACAAAUGCUUUUUGCUUUUUAAACAUUUUGCUACUUUUUUUCACUGAUUGAAAUAAUUCCUCAUGUUUCACUUGUUUUUUUAAAUAUGUACCGUUUCUAAUUUUUUGUUAAUAUAAACCACAUGCAAUGAAAAAUCUUGCAUAUAUUCUUUUGGUGCAGAUGUGAAAAUUUCUCUGGGGACAGGUAGAUUUUUUUUCCCCCUAAAACCACAGUUUGCAUGGGGCAUGGCCAGUGAGGAAGGACCUGGGUAACGGCAUUCAUGGGGAGUCUGGUCUCCAAAGUUUCUGUAACCCUGACAUUGGGACAGAACGUGUGUUCCUCUCUGGCCUCUUGGAGUUUGCAGCCCAGGUUCGGCUCCACAUGAUGACAAGAGUACAUUCAUUUGUCUUCUCUUUCUGGGGAGCAGAUGUCUUUUAUUCCCACUAGUUAGGUGAACAGAUAAGGAAAUGGCCUCCAAUCAGAAUGGGAACUUCUAGGCACAAUGGAAGCUCUGGGUCUAGAAAGUCUCUGCUCUUCCUGGUGGCUGUGGAUCUAUAACAGCUCGACCUUCCAGAAUGAUCAAAGUCGUAGAGAACCACACGGAGACUUUUAUGCCUGUGAAUUGCAGCGGCUCCUCCCCUGACCACACAGCCCAGGCUCACAGGGCAGGCUCUGUCCCCAGAGAAGAGGGUAGGUAGAAGAGCCAGACGACAGGAAGGGAACCUGCCUUCACAGAAAGAGUCUUUUACAAGUUCCACAGGAGGAACACUUUGUAGAGAGGAAAUAAUGCCUAUGGAGGACUUUUGGAAAGUUUCACCAUGUAAAUUCUUUGAGAUCACUUCCAGGAAAGAUGGAUGCCAGUCAAGAUAUCCAGGAUGUGG